RNAcentral lists this ribosomal RNA (305 nucleotides) under uncultured bacterium. Its description in RNAcentral is "partial 16S ribosomal RNA". It matches the Rfam family "Bacterial small subunit ribosomal RNA", at positions 336 to 655 of the family's 1533-position model. The record is from RNAcentral.
UUCCUACGGGGGGCAGCAGUGGGGAAUAUUGGACAAUGGGGGGAACCCUGAUCCAGCGACGCCGCGUGAGUGAAGAAGUAUUUCGGUAUGUAAAGCUCUAUCAGCAGGGAAGAAAGAAAUGACGGUACCUGACUAAGAAGCCCCGGCUAACUACGUGCCAGCAGCCGCGGUAAUACGUAGGGGGCAAGCGUUAUCCGGAUUUACUGGGUGUAAAGGGAGCGUAGACGGCGAUGCAAGUCUGAAGUGAAAGGCGGGGGCCCAACUCCGGGACUGCUUUUGAAACUGUUGAACUAGAUUGCAGGGGG